GGCCUUAUAGUCAAAAUAAUGAUUUUAAAUUGCAAAUUUAAAGGUAACGUUAGUUUAAGGCUU
RNAcentral lists this transfer RNA (63 nucleotides) under Cerambycidae sp. 8 KM-2017. Its description in RNAcentral is "tRNA-Cys". Lineage: Eukaryota; Metazoa; Arthropoda; Insecta; Coleoptera; Cerambycidae. The record is from RNAcentral.